Long non-coding RNA from Homo sapiens (human), 279 nucleotides. The record is from Ensembl. NCBI's taxonomy places the organism in Eukaryota, Metazoa, Chordata, Mammalia, Primates, Hominidae.
UUUCAACUUAUGGCCCAAGAAAAUAGAAGUCAGAAUCAAAAUCCAGCAUGCAGAACUUGUUGUAAAACAUGGCAGUACAGGACUUGCUACAUUGGUCUUUGCUAGCUUCAAUGCCUGGAAUGCAAACUUCGGGUCCCUUGUUAGUAGAAAGAUGCACAGAUGCGGCUCUGUUGACUCAGUUGUUUAAAUACAUAUUGUCAAACAAAAUAUUUGCAGCACUGAUGCCAAGUUCCUCCUGACAUUCACAAUAAUAUUGAAUUUGACUCAACCAAACAAGUG